UAGGGUACCGGAAGAGCGUGAUCCUGGGUCGAGUUUCAUCCUGGCUUGGUCGUCAAACCUAGGUAUCCGAAAAGUUUUUUCCUGUGGGAAACUGCCUGAUGGAGGGGGAUAACUACUGGAAACGGUAGCUUAUACCCCAUAACGUCUUCGGACCAAAGGGGGGGACCUUCGGGCCUCUUGCCAUCUGAUGUGCCCAGAUGGGAUUACCUAGUAUGUGAGGUAAUGGCUCACCUAGGCUACCAUCCCUAACUGGGCUGAGAGGAUGACCAGCCACACUGGAACUGAGACACGGUCCAAACUCCUACGGGAGGCAGCGGUGGGGAAUAUUGCGCAAUGGGCGCAAGCCUGAUGCAGCCUUGCCGCGUGUAUGAAGAAGGCCUUCGGGUUGUUAAGUACUUUCAGCGAGGAGGAAGGGGUUGUGGUUAAUAACCGCUGUGAUUGACGUUACUCUCACAAAAAGCACCGGCUAACUCCCUGCCAACAGCCGCGGUAAUACCGAGGGUGCACGCGUUUAUCGGAAUUUCUGGGCGUAAAGCGCACGCAGGCGGUCUGUCAAGUCUUAUGUGAAAUCCCCGGGCUCACCCUGGGAACUGCCUUCGAAACUGGUUGGAUACAGUCUUGUAUAGGGGGGUAGAAUUCCAGGUGUAUCGCUGGAAUGCGUAUAAAUCUGGAGGAAUACCGGUGGAGAAGGCGGCCCCCUGGACAAAUACUGACCCUCANGUGCGAAAGCGUGGGGAGCANACANGAUUANAUACCCUGGUAUUCCCCNCCNUAAACGAUGUCNACUUGAAGGUUGUUCCCUUGAGGAGUGUCUUCCCNAUCUAACGCGUNAAGUCNANCNCCUGGGGANCNNNNGNNNCGAGGAUUAGAACUCANAUGAAUUGACNGGGGCCCNNCACAAGCGNUGGANCAUGUGGUUUUAAUUCGNUGC
RNAcentral lists this ribosomal RNA (931 nucleotides) under Buttiauxella agrestis. RNAcentral describes it as "partial 16S ribosomal RNA". It matches the Rfam family "Bacterial small subunit ribosomal RNA", at positions 1 to 957 of the family's 1533-position model. Lineage: Bacteria; Pseudomonadati; Pseudomonadota; Gammaproteobacteria; Enterobacterales; Enterobacteriaceae. The record is from RNAcentral.